Molecule: ribosomal RNA, 496 nt
Filed under: uncultured bacterium
Lineage: Bacteria
Description: partial 16S ribosomal RNA
Rfam family: Bacterial small subunit ribosomal RNA
Source: RNAcentral
GAUGAACGCUGGCGGCGUGCCUAAUACAUGCAAGUCGAGCGAACAGAUGAGGAGCUUGCUCCUCUGACGUUAGCGGCGGACGGGUGAGUAACACGUGGAUAACCUACCUAUAAGACUGGGAUAACUUCGGGAAACCGGAGCUAAUACCGGAUAAUAUAUUGAACCGCAUGGUUCAAUAGUGAAAGACGGUUUUGCUGUCACUUAUAGAUGGAUCCGCGCCGCAUUAGCUAGUUGGUAAGGUAACGGCUUACCAAGGCAACGAUGCGUAGCCGACCUGAGAGGGUGAUCGGCCACACUGGAACUGAGACGCGGUCCAGACUCCGACGGGAGGCAGCAGUAGGGAAUCUUCCGCAAUGGGCGAAAGCCUGACGGAGCAACGCCGCGUGAGUGAUGAAGGUCUUCGGAUCGUAAAACUCUGUUAUUAGGGAAGAACAAAUGUGUCAGUAACUAUGCACGUCUGGACGGUACCUAAUCAGAAAGCCACGGCUAACUACGU